RNAcentral lists this small RNA (17 nucleotides) under Arabidopsis thaliana (thale cress). RNAcentral's name for it is "ATSL301820". Lineage: Eukaryota; Viridiplantae; Streptophyta; Magnoliopsida; Brassicales; Brassicaceae. The record is from RNAcentral.
UUUUUUUUUAGUUUUCG